Molecule: long non-coding RNA, 534 nt
Organism: Colius striatus (speckled mousebird)
Lineage: Eukaryota; Metazoa; Chordata; Aves; Coliiformes; Coliidae
Exons: 4
Source: RefSeq, a predicted model, not a curated record
AAGCACUCUGACUGCCCAGCCUGAUGGCCUGACCACCACGCUGCAGGAUUGUGUCCCUUUUGCUUGUGUGUGACAUCUCUCUUUUUCAGAGCUAGGCUCACACUUGAAAUAGACUUCCUCAAGGGCCUGGACUGGAGUGAUUUUGGUCACUGAAAUGCUUCAUGCUUUGAAGAGACUGCUAUGGUACUUGCUAGAAGAUUCUUACUGCUGGAACAAACCCGAUGGAAAUAUUUAAUGCAUGACAUUAUUUAUCUUUAGAUAGCAGUGGAAAUGGGUCUGUGCAACGCUCAGAAGUAAGAAAUGUAAUUAUGUAAAGCUGCUCCAGGUAAGUGUUAUUUACAGAUGGCUGAAAAAAUUUGGAUUACAAUCAUUUGCCAAGAAUAACCUCCCUCUCUUCACUCUUGGCCAAGAGGUGGUUUUGGUUGUCAUCAAGGUAAGCUGCAGAUUGUAUACUCCCAUCUGCAUCUUUUUGCCCAUUUUGACUGUUUUCUUUCUUUGUGAUUUUUUAAAUGGUAGCCCUGCAGGCACUGUGCA